AAGCAAAGACAAAAAGCGUUAGCUUUUUGAACGUUGCUUGCAACGACCCGUAGGGUGAGCAAGUGAACAAAGUUCACUUGCAAAUAAAAGUAGGUCGC
Molecule: small RNA, 98 nt
Organism: Gallibacterium salpingitidis
Lineage: Bacteria; Pseudomonadati; Pseudomonadota; Gammaproteobacteria; Pasteurellales; Pasteurellaceae
Rfam family: Aggregatibacter sRNA 22
Source: Rfam